RNAcentral lists this unclassified non-coding RNA (215 nucleotides) under Hevea brasiliensis (rubber tree). The record is from RNAcentral. Lineage: Eukaryota; Viridiplantae; Streptophyta; Magnoliopsida; Malpighiales; Euphorbiaceae.
AAAGCAGGAAUAAAUUUUUGGAUGCUAACCGGAGAUAAGCAGAAUACUGCCAUACAAAUUGCUCUUUCAUGCAAUUUUAUUUCACCAGAACCAAAAGGUCAACUUCUAUUAAUCGAUGGCAAAACCAAAGAUGAAGUUUCUAGAAGUUUUGAAAGAGUUUUACUUACAAUGAGGAUAACAACUUCGGAACCAAAGGACGUGGCAUUUGUUGUUGA